RNAcentral lists this ribosomal RNA (41 nucleotides) under uncultured Cortinarius. RNAcentral's name for it is "partial 18S ribosomal RNA". Lineage: Eukaryota; Fungi; Basidiomycota; Agaricomycetes; Agaricales; Cortinariaceae. The record is from RNAcentral.
GUCCGCCCUUCUUCGUAGUACGUGCCUGCGGAGGAUCAUUA